Molecule: ribosomal RNA, 253 nt
Filed under: uncultured microorganism
Description: partial 16S ribosomal RNA
Rfam family: Bacterial small subunit ribosomal RNA
Source: RNAcentral
UACGGAGGGUGCGAGCGUUAAUCGGAAUUACUGGGCGUAAAGCGUGCGCAGGCGGUUUGUUAAGCGAGAUGUGAAAGCCCCGGGCUCAACCUGGGAACCGCAUUGCGAACUGGCAAACUAGAGUCUUGUAGAGGGGGGUAGAAUUCCAGGUGUAGCGGUGAAAUGCGUAGAGAUCUGGAGGAAUACCGGUGGCGAAGGCGGCCCCCUGGACAAAGACUGACGCUCAGGCACGAAAGCGUGGGGAGCAAACAGG